This 88-nucleotide transfer RNA is filed under the name Flavobacteriales bacterium. RNAcentral describes it as "tRNA-Leu". It matches the Rfam family "tRNA". Rfam says of the family: Transfer RNA (tRNA) molecules are approximately 80 nucleotides in length. The record is from RNAcentral. Lineage: Bacteria; Pseudomonadati; Bacteroidota; Flavobacteriia; Flavobacteriales.
GCCCGGGUGGUGGAAUGGUAUACACGAGGGACUUAAAAUCCCUUGGUCCGCAAGGGCCUUGCGGGUUCAAGUCCCGCCCCGGGCACCA